This 2262-nucleotide long non-coding RNA is filed under the name Homo sapiens (human). RNAcentral's name for it is "HSALNT0384971". Lineage: Eukaryota; Metazoa; Chordata; Mammalia; Primates; Hominidae. The record is from RNAcentral.
CUGGAGUGCAGUGGUGCGAUCUCGGUUCACCACAGCCUCCGCCUCCUGGGUUCAAGCGAUUCUCCUCCUCAGCCUCCCGAGUAGCUGGGAUUACAGGCAUGCGCCACCGCACCUGGAUAAUUUUGUAUUUUUAGUAGAGACGGGGUUUCCCCAUGUUGGUCAGGCUAGUCUUGAACUCCUGACAUCAAGUGAUCUGCCCACCUCGGCUUCCCAAAGUACUGGGAUUACAGGCAUGAGCCACCACGCCAGGCUGGUAGCAGUCUUUCCUAGAAUGUGGAUGCCUUGGAAAACAGGGGCUGUGCCUUGUUUCCCUAGAACCUAGAAUGGCAUCUGGCACACAGCAGAUGCUACAUCUAUUGUAAAUGAAUGAAUGAAAGAAGUGUCCUUGCAGCCACACUGGCAGCCGUAACAUAGUGGUUAUAAAUCUAGACUCUGGAGUCUCAAGUGCAAAUGUCAUUGGCCUCUCCUCCAGCCUCCUCAAGGGGCACUCAAUGACUGGAAGCGCCUUGAUAUGACUGUGGUUGGACUGACAUGACUGCCAGAUGGUGGGACUUGGUCUGGAGCAGAGACUACUUGGAAUGGUAGAGGCAAAACUCAACAGCCCCUGGAGCUGUGCUUGUGGUGGAGCUGGACCCUGAUUUUAGCUGGACCUUGUUUUUAGAGACAGGGUUUCCUUCUGCAGUCUCAAUCUCCUAGCCUUGAUUGAUCCUCCUGCCUUGGCCUCCCAAAGUGCUGGGACUACAGGUGCAUGCAACCACACCUGGCUAAUUUUCUUCUUUCUUUCUUUUUUUUUUUUUUUUUUUUUUUUUUUUUUUUUUUUUGAUGGAGUCUUGUUCUGUUGCCCAGGCUGGAGUGCAAUGGUGCCAUCUCGGCUCACUGCAACCUCUGCCUCCUGGGUUCAAUCCAUUCUCCUGCCUCAGCCUCCCAAGUAGCUGGGAUUACAGGUGUGUGCCACCGUGCCUGGCUAAUUUUUGUAUUUUUAGUAGGGACGAGACUUCACCAUGUUGGCCAGGCUGGUCUCGACCUCCUGACCUCAGGUGAUCCACCCACCUUGGCCUCCCAAAGUGCUGGGACUACAGGCACAUGCAACCACGUCUGGCUAAUUUUCUUGAGUUUUAGUAGAGACUGGGUCUCGUUAUGUUGUCCAGGCUGGUCCCGAGCUCCUGAGUUCAAUCGAUCUUCCUGCCUUGGUCUCCCAAAGUGCUGGGCCUACAGGCGUGAGCCACCAUCCCCAGCCCAAUUUUUGUAUAUUUUGUAGAGACACAGUCUUGCUAUGUUGUCCAGGCUGGUCUCAAACUCCUGGGCUCAAGGGAUCUUCUUGCCUUGGCCUCCCGGAGCACUUAAUUACAGGAAUGACUGCAUGUGCUGUUGUGCCUAUACUUUCUGGAGAUACGUUGUUAGGAAUUUAUGUAGUUGGCCGGGCACGGUGGCUCACGCCUGUAAUCCCAGCACUCUGGGAUGCCGAGGCAGGUGGAUCACCUGAGGUCAGGAGUUCGAGACCAGCCUGGUCAACAUGGUGAAACCCUGUCUCUACUAACAAUACUAAAAUUAGCUGAGCGUGGUGGCACAUGCCUGUAGUCCCAGCUACUUGGGAAGCUGAGGCAGGAGAAUGGUUUGAGCCCAGGAGCAGAGGUUGCUUGCAGUGAGCCAAGAUCAUACCAUUGCACUCCAGCCUGGGCAACAGAGCGAGACUCUGUCUCAAAAAAAAAAAAAAAAAAAAAGGAAUUUACAUAGUUGAACAACUAUUCUUUGGACAUCUUUCAGUCCAGUAGACGGUGUUAAACUUGAAGACAAAUAACGAUUUGACCUGUGAUAUUUGUUUUUCCCUCUUAUCUUCUAAGCCCAUUCAUCCAGGUCAUUCAUCACCUUUAAAGGCAUCCCCAGAGGGAGGCAGGUCUGGACAGAGCUGAAGAUUGCACAGGCCAUUUGCAGGCUGGAUUCGUUCUCUGGUGACCCACCUGUCUGACUCGAGUUAUUUUUUUCCCAUGUCUGGACAAGACUGACCUCUGCCCAGCAACUCAGGCCUGGAUUUAGUCCAAGGGCCCUCAGUGGCUUUUUUUUGUUUGUUUUUUCAGGAAGUGAAGAAUUUAGAGGGAUAAAAGGCGGAAAUAACUUUUCAGCCUCUGACCUUUGUAACAAUCUGGUUUCCUUUUAAAGGAGCAUUGUUUGGGCCUGGGGCCACCUAGACCUUCUGAUGCUCUUUCCCCACCCUUGGAGGAGGAGGAAAGGAAGAAAAUGGGCCCUGAGCGAUCACCACAUACC